CUUUGUAACUAAUACAAGUCUCUCUGUGUAUUCAUUUGGGCCUAACUCGGGCGGGCGGCUGGCGUAAAGCUCGCACGUGGCGGUGGGGCUCAGGCGGCUUUUGGCAAAAAGAUUUAUCGUAACAUGGCAUGUGAGUUGUUAUAAGGCCUGCAUUUCAUGGAGUGGAGGAAACACAAGCUUUCAUACCCACAUGCCAGGAGUAGGGCAAAGAAGAGGAAGCCUGUGACUUACAAAUUAUAAGAAGUCAUAGAGCUAAUGUUGGCAGACUCGUUACUGCAUAGGACAUCAGUGGACAGGAGAAAAUGAUGAGUGUGCUGGAGAGCAAGAACUUUCACUAACUAUAACACCAUUGUUUUGCCUUUAAACUUCCAGGCAACAAAUGCUACAUUGACAUCAAAUAGUUCUCAGUGCCAUACAAUAAAUAGUCAUGUAUAACCAAGCUCACCUUGAUGGCUAUUACUUAUUAAUAACAAAACCAUGGCUAUAGUUCCUCUAGCAUAGUUUUAUCUCUUUCAAUAGGAGUCUCUAUGACAUGCUACUAUCCUAUUAUAGACUUUGACCAUAAGCAUGAGUGUGUUGUACCCAGGAAAACUGUUGACAGAGAGAAACUCUGGUGACAUCUCUUUCCAACACUAAAUAACAGCAACCAAAUUCUAAUAGUUCAUGUUUUUCUGGUAUGUAAACCAAUUUGACAGAACUGAAUCUACUUGUACAUUCCUGUCAUAAUCAGUUUAAUAAAAUGAAGAAAAUUAGGGGAAAUGCUCAGAAAGAAGACAAUGUCUAAAAGCUCAGAGAAAGAUUUAAAAAUAUAUAUAUUUAGAAAGUGAACACAUGUUCAGUAGCAGACCAAAAAAAAAAUGGAAUAAAGUAAUUGAACCAAACAGUUUCUUUAGCACAUUUGGCCCUUUUCAGUUCAUGGAUACUCUGUAGCCCUACCCCACUGCUUUCAUAAAUAAGAAAAAAAAAACAGAGUAAGAAUCAAUGAGUUCUUUAUCUCCUAGGUGUGCUUGUAUCUCUCUGGUAAAUUGAUUUCACUUUCCUAUGUGACUGUCUCUCAGUUACUAUGGAUGAUUGAUAGCUAACUCUGUGAAUGAAGGACUUUUUUGUCUCUGUGUUGUGGUGGCAUCCAAGACAGGAAUACAAAGUUAAUUUUACAUAAGUUUCAACAUAUAGAAUCUAUAACAAUGUAAGCUGUCUAUAGAUAAUAGUUGCUAAAAUAGUUCACAGGAAGAUAUGGUGAUCUACAUAUAUGCUAUCCCAGCAGUCUGGCUUCAGAGCACCAGGACUGAACUCCUUUUGGUUCUCCUAUCCUGCAACAUCAAGUGAUUUCUUACAUGCCUAAUGCACCCUUUGGGGUUUCCCUGAAUAAGCUUUCUUUAUAGAGAACACUCGGCAGAAAUCAUAAGAUGCCAAGAACAGAUCCCUAUGAUAAACUACCAAGCUUCACUCAAAAUAAACUUCUUCCAGGUCUUUCUUAUCUCUCUCUCCAAUGCAUCUUCUGGAGAUUUUACCAACACAUUUGUGUUCCUGCAUAUGCUCCCUUAUCCUUAGUGACUGCUGAAAGAGAGGGGUGUGUUGCUCAAAAUAUUUCCCCCAUUUGACUCUUAAAUUGCAGGUAACCUUGAUGAAUUCCUAAUUUUAUCCUGCCUGUGUAAGAUCCACCUUCAUGAAAACCUCUGAACUAAAUGUUGCCUCAAAUAUAUAAUCUAAACUGAUCAGGGAGUUAUGGCAUGGAGACUCAGAAUACGUGGAGAAGUAGACUUCUCUGGAUCUAUGCUCCUAACUGCUGAGAGAAUAUAAAAAUAGACAAUGGCCAGUCUAUGUGACAGCAGGAGUCGACCACAGAAACUCAGCAGCAGGCCCAAGAGGUCAGAACUAAGUAAUUACCAGCUUUUCUGAUGUUUGCCUCCUCAUUCGAAUCAGGACCACUCAGUGAAAGUCAGAUAUGCCUCUGCCAAAGAUGCAACCAACUUUCACUUAAAUCUUAAUAUAAUAAGUUUAUUUUACUAAAACAAAAUAGCGACUUUAAAAAAAAUGAAAUAAUGUACCCUUUGAAGUCAAAGUCGGAAUCUGUGGUUCCUAAGGAGUAGCAAGGAAUACCUCCCAUUGUAUAAUGUCAGAACUUCAUCUGGAUUACAAUAAAGGUCUGUUUCAUGAAAGA
Non-coding RNA from Cricetulus griseus (Chinese hamster), 2161 nucleotides. Lineage: Eukaryota; Metazoa; Chordata; Mammalia; Rodentia; Cricetidae. The record is from RefSeq and is a predicted model, not a curated record.